RNAcentral lists this ribosomal RNA (354 nucleotides) under uncultured bacterium. RNAcentral's name for it is "bacterial SSU rRNA". It matches the Rfam family "Bacterial small subunit ribosomal RNA", at positions 9 to 350 of the family's 1533-position model. The record is from RNAcentral.
GAGUUUGUAUCCUGGCUCAGGAUGAACGCUAGCUACAGGCUUAACACAUGCAAGUCGAGGGGAAACGGACAUCGAAAGCUUGCUUUUGUAUGGGCGUCGACCGGCGCACGGGUGAGUAACGCGUAUCCAACCUGCCCAUCACUUGGGGAUAACCUUGCGAAAGUAAGACUAAUACCCAAUGACGUCUCUAGAAGACAUCUGAAAGAGAUUAAAGAUUUAUCGGUGAUGGAUGGGGAUGCGUCUGAUUAGCUUGUUGGCGGGGUAACGGCCACCAAGGCGACGAUCAGUAGGGGUUCUGAGAGGAAGGUCCCCCANAUUGGAACUGAGACACGGUCCAAACUCCUACGGGAGGCA